Long non-coding RNA from Gallus gallus (chicken), 1357 nucleotides. The record is from Ensembl. NCBI's taxonomy places the organism in Eukaryota, Metazoa, Chordata, Aves, Galliformes, Phasianidae.
GUUGGAGAUCCCUGUCUAUCUUAGAUCUUCUGAAGCAGAAAAAUGCAUGCGGAUUGCCAGUGAGAGAAGAGUAAUUUAGUACGCUGGUGAAGGAAUAAAAGCAACACUGAUCUCAGAGGUGUGAACCAUGCUCACAGGAUGGUGGUUGUGCAGCAGGUCAAUGUAUUUUUGAAACCUCCUGCAGAAUAAUGUUGCAGGGAUAAAUUUCUUGCUUCAGUGAUGAAGAUAGAUUAGAAUGACUGUUCUUGGCCUAUUUUAUUAAAUGGUUUUCCUACGGUUUGCAUCAUCAACUGUUCUGCUAGAAGAAAAUUUGUGGCAUUUCCUUUCAGGUGUUUAUUAUUCCCAAAUGGAGGCAUGGUUCAGGGUUUAGGCUGGCUGCUGUCCUAACCUUUCUCUUCAAAGGUCUUGCAUGGCUUGUGCUUCUCACUGAAGGAGUGAGGGCAAGAGGGCUGCAGGUGCCCCAGGAGCAGAUGUCCCCAGCUGAGGUGUUGUGUGAAUCCUUCUUUGAGCUUUGAAAGCUCAAAGCUUUCAUUCUGAGGUAUUUAUUGUGAUAAGACUCUGACUUAUAAAGAUGGUGAGUGAUGGGUGUCGCCAUAUGGCAAGCAACAUCUCUUUGAGGACAUAUGAAAACAUUUCCUUUGAAACUGUUUCACUAUGGAAUAGAGUACUAAAGAAUGUUUAUUAGCAGAAGUUUUGGCCUAUGACCAAAAACUCCACCUUGGUAUGGGAGAGCUGGGGAAUUACACCAUUGUAUUCUGUGAAAAACAAUGCAGGUGGGCACCUCUCUGCUCCCUCUUGUCUGCCACUGAGGCCCACAAGAUAGGAAUAAAAGAAUUUCUGCUGAGAUCCCAAAGCCAGAAACAAAGUCUCCAUAGAGACCUGACUCAACCACUUUGGACAUAAGUUUGCACCAUUGUUGCCAUCAUCGUCAAGCAGACAACAGAUUCUGACAAUUCAUCACUACUGAAGAUCAACGUCUGAACUAUGGGCAAUGCUUGAAUCUGUGGUGUUGACGGUCUCUCUCUCUUGCAUCCUACAAAGACUCUUUGCUUUUAUUUACUACCUUUUCUAUCACCUGCCUCCCCUUCCCUGUCUCUCUUAGUGAUUAGACUUAUAAUAAACAGUCUGGGCUUACAUAUGACCCAUUGUGUAUUGAUGUUGGUAAUAAAUAUAUUAAAAGAACCUCAUCUCCUUCCUAUGAACUGUGCUGGCACAAGUGUGACUGUUUCUUAAAUAUGCACUUCUAGCCAGAUUUCUUAUGGACCCCAAACAUCAAAGUCAUCAUGAAGUGCCACUAGUCACAGAGUAAUAGAAUAAUUAUGGUUAGAAUAGACAUCCCUUAUCAAGUCUGACAUUC